Molecule: ribosomal RNA, 199 nt
Filed under: uncultured bacterium
Lineage: Bacteria
Description: partial 16S ribosomal RNA
Rfam family: Bacterial small subunit ribosomal RNA
Source: RNAcentral
CUAGUUCGGAUUGCAGGCUGAAACUCGCCUGCAUGAAGCUGGAAUUGCUAGUAAUCAUAGGUCAGCAUACUAUGGUGAAUACGUUCCCGGGCCUUGUACACACCGCCCGUCACACCAUGAGAGUUGAGAAUACCCGAAGUCCAUGUCAAAGUGGCCGAAGGUAGGCUUGAUGAUUGGGGUGAAGUCGUAACAAGGUAAC